Molecule: non-coding RNA, 89 nt
Organism: Mycena galericulata
Lineage: Eukaryota; Fungi; Basidiomycota; Agaricomycetes; Agaricales; Mycenaceae
Source: the annotation of a GenBank genome assembly
GGCCCGGUAGUGUAAUGGUAACACACCUGCUUAUCUUUACCCCCUGUGAUCGUCUGCAGGAGUCCCCCGUUCAACUCGGGGCUGGGCCA